UUUUUCAUAUUUUAGUAAUAUAAUAUGCUUACCAUGGUGUGACCUUUUCUGGAUAUAUACCACAACUCUUGCAAUAAUAAUGGUCACUAAUUUGUGGCACUUAUCACAUGACAUGUACCACCAUUGAAUAUUUUCUUGCAAACGAUCCACUGUAGCUAUGACAGUGAACACAAAAUCCUAAAGAAAACAACAUUAGCAUUUGGGUGGGGUGUGGGAUUAAGAGGCAUAUAUAAGCACAAUAUGGUUUCAUUGUAACUAAUAUUAAAUGAAUUGUCCAUGCAGGUCUUAUCGCGUAUCACGGAGAUUGAUGAUAUCAUUUAUUGGAAUUUUGAUGCGUUACCUGGUCUGGCUGGUUUCCGUGCCUCAUUGCAGCUAGAUUUGCUUUGGCUUCAAUUCUUUCGACUUAGAUUGGAGCAGGCGUCGCUUCGUCGGGCGCUGAGCGUGCUUUCGCGUGACUAUGUCGGGCGUCGAGUGAAGCGGCUGGAGGUGGCUUUUUCGUCUGGACGUUGAGUCGCGUGUGAUGUGUUCAAGUCAUCGUGGUCGUUGGCUUCUAAUUGUUUGGUGGGUACUUGUGCGUCCGUGUGUACUUAUUUAUAUACUUUUAGGUGUCUUGGAUUGUGGUGGCUGAGACCGGCUGCAAAUCAGACGCCAACACCGUGUGCAAAUCAGACUUAUGCACCGUGUGCAAGUCAAACUUGUUUUAUUUGCAUGUAUUUGUUCCUGAUCUGGAACUUUCCUCA
This is a long non-coding RNA of Triticum aestivum (bread wheat), 740 nucleotides long. RefSeq lists it as uncharacterized. The record is from RefSeq and is a predicted model, not a curated record. Lineage: Eukaryota; Viridiplantae; Streptophyta; Magnoliopsida; Poales; Poaceae. The transcript is spliced from 2 exons.